This 73-nucleotide transfer RNA is filed under the name Planctomycetota bacterium. Its description in RNAcentral is "Planctomycetes bacterium (marine metagenome) tRNA-Val". It matches the Rfam family "tRNA". From Rfam's summary of the family: Transfer RNA (tRNA) molecules are approximately 80 nucleotides in length. Their secondary structure includes four short double-helical elements and three loops (D, anti-codon, and T loops). The record is from RNAcentral. Lineage: Bacteria; Pseudomonadati; Planctomycetota.
GAUCCCGUGGUCCAGUGGCGAAGACGCCUGGAUGACACCCAGGAAAUCGCUGGUUCGAUUCCAGCCGGGAUCA